GUUUAUUGAAAAGCAACACGUUCAGAAGUAUCUGUCUGCAUGUAUGCUUGAAGGCCAGAAGAGGGCACCAGAUCUUGUGAGCCACCAUGUGAUUGCUGGGAAUUGAACUCAGAGUAGCCCCUGCUCUUAACCUCUGAACCAUCUCUGCAGCCCCUAUACAGGCACCAAUCAGACGCCCUUUCACCUGGUUGUCACGUGGAACCACUCAAGUGCUUUUGACACCCUUAGAUUGGCCUCCAGAGGGCUCCGCUCAGCUCAGAGGAGCCAGAACAUGACAAGUCAUCGUCCAGAUUCCUCAAAGGUUACCUCUUCUCAGGGGAAACAUGACAACUUCCAUGACAACAGAAACUGGUUGGGAAGCUUUAAGGCAGCGACCCCGGAAGCAGCAGCUCCUGAAAUGUCCUUGGUCCUGUCGUCAGCUUUGUCCUUGCUACAGGCCAGAAAUGCCAGGAAGGCUUUCCAGUUCCUGGUUAGCUCUCUUAAGCGAGCAGCACUGCCUGGCAGCUCACGUGAGAAUGUGAUGAAAACUGAGGGGGGGGGGCACCUGCAGAUUUCGUGGGUGGUCCAGCUGGACCGCCCACCUGCCCAAGCCUGACCCUAGUCUCUGCCAUAGGUCCUAAAACACUCGCCUGGUCUAGCAGCUGCGUCUUGGGACCCGCUCCAGCCGCUACUCCCCCCACCCCCCACCCCACGCUUCACUCCCUAC
This 706-nucleotide long non-coding RNA is filed under the name Cricetulus griseus (Chinese hamster). Its description in RNAcentral is "lncRNA (ENSCGRG00015031449.1)". The record is from RNAcentral. Lineage: Eukaryota; Metazoa; Chordata; Mammalia; Rodentia; Cricetidae.